GACGAACGCUGGCGGCGUGCUUAACACAUGCAAGUCGAACGGAAAGGCCCUGCUUGCAGGGUACUCGAGUGGCGAACGGGUGAGUAACACGUGGGUGAUCUGCCCUGCACUUCGGGAUAAGCCUGGGAAACUGGGUCUAAUACCGGAUAGGAGCCAUUUUUAGUGUGAUGGUUGGAAAGUUUUUUCGGUGUAGGAUGAGCUCGCGGCCUAUCAGCUUGUUGGUGGGGUAAUGGCCUACCAAGGCGGCGACGGGUAGCCGGCCUGAGAGGGUGGACGGCAACAUUGGGACUGAGAUACGGCCCAGACUCCGACGGGAGGCAGCAGUGGGGAAUAUUGCACAAUGGGCGCAAGCCUGAUGCAGCGACGCCGCGUGGGGGAUGACGGCCUUCGGGUUGGAAACUCCUUUCGCUAGGGACGAAGCUUUUUGUGACGGUACCUAGAUAAGAAGCCCCGGCUAACUACGUG
RNAcentral lists this ribosomal RNA (465 nucleotides) under uncultured bacterium. Its description in RNAcentral is "partial 16S ribosomal RNA". It matches the Rfam family "Bacterial small subunit ribosomal RNA", at positions 28 to 507 of the family's 1533-position model. The record is from RNAcentral.